CACUGUAGUCCAUGCACCAAGCCCACAAGAUGUUUCUCAAGGUCACUGUAGUCCAUGCACCAAGCCCACAAGAUGUUUCUCCAGGUCACUGUAGUCCAUGCACCAAGCCCACAAGGAGUUUCUCCAGGUCACUGUAGUCCAUGCACCAAGCCCACAAGAUGUUUCUCCAGGUCACUGUAGUCCAUGCACCAAGCCCACAAGAUGUUUCUCCAGGUCACUGUAGUCCAUGCACCAAGCCCACAAGAUGUUUCUCCAGGUCACUGUAGUCCAUGCACCAAGCCCACAAGAUGUUUCUCCAGGUCACUGUAGUCCAUGCACCAAGCCCACAAGAUGUUUCUCCAGGUCACUGUAGUCCAUGCACCAAGCCCACAAGAUGUUUCUCAGGUCACUGUAGUCCAUGCACCAAGCCCACAAGAUGUUUCUCCAGGUCACUGUAGUCCAUGCACCAAGCCCACAAGAUGUUUCUCCAGGUCACUGUAGUCCAUGCACCAAGCCCACAAGAUGUUUCUCCA
Haliotis rubra (blacklip abalone) is the source of this 512-nucleotide long non-coding RNA. RefSeq lists it as uncharacterized. The record is from RefSeq and is a predicted model, not a curated record. The transcript is spliced from 5 exons. NCBI's taxonomy places the organism in Eukaryota, Metazoa, Mollusca, Gastropoda, Lepetellida, Haliotidae.